This 252-nucleotide ribosomal RNA is filed under the name uncultured Bacteroidales bacterium. RNAcentral describes it as "partial 16S ribosomal RNA". It matches the Rfam family "Bacterial small subunit ribosomal RNA", at positions 524 to 776 of the family's 1533-position model. Lineage: Bacteria; Pseudomonadati; Bacteroidota; Bacteroidia; Bacteroidales. The record is from RNAcentral.
UACGGAGGAUGCGAGCGUUAUCCGGAUUUAUUGGGUUUAAAGGGUGCGCAGGCGGCGUGUCAAGUCAGCGGUAAAAUGUCGGGGCUCAACCCCGGCCGGCCGUUGAAACUGGCGUGCUCGAGUUGGAGAGAAGUAUGCGGAAUUCGUGGUGUAGCGGUGAAAUGCAUAGAUAUCACGCAGAACUCCGAUUGCGAAGGCAGCCUUCCGGCGCCCUACUGACGCUGAGGCACGAAAGUGCGGGGAUCGAACAGG